CCUGCCCCUAGAAGCAUUGUACGUGCGGCUGCUGUGUCACAUGUGCAUCAGUAGGUGUCUGAGAGAAGAAAGGCUAUGCCGCUGCCCAAGAGUUCAGACCUGUAAACAUCUGAAUAAUUCCUAGCCUAACAUU
Apodemus sylvaticus (European woodmouse) is the source of this 133-nucleotide small nucleolar RNA. RefSeq annotates it as small nucleolar RNA SNORA17. Lineage: Eukaryota; Metazoa; Chordata; Mammalia; Rodentia; Muridae. The transcript has a single exon. The record is from RefSeq and is a predicted model, not a curated record.